GAUGAAGAACGCAGCGAAAUGCGAUAAGUAAUGUGAAUUGCAGAAUUCAGUGAAUCAUCGAAUCUUUGAACGCACAUUGCGCCCGCUAGUAUUCUAGCGGGCAUGCCUGUCCGAGCGUCAUUUCAACCCUCAAGCCCCCGGGCUUGGUGUUGGGGAUCGGCGAGCCUCCGCGCCCGCCGUCCCCUAAAUCUAGUGGCGGUCUCGCUGUAGCUUCCUCUGCGUAGUAGCACACCUCGCACUGGGAAACAGCGCGGCCACGCCGUUAAACCCCCAACUUCUGAACGUUUGACCUCGGAUCAGGUAGGAAUACCCGCUGAACUUAAGCAUAUCAAUAAGCGGAGGA
RNAcentral lists this unclassified non-coding RNA (343 nucleotides) under soil metagenome. Its description in RNAcentral is "partial contains 5.8S ribosomal RNA, internal transcribed spacer 2, and large subunit ribosomal RNA". The stretch from base 1 to 120 matches the Rfam family "5.8S ribosomal RNA", at positions 35 to 154 of the family's 154-position model. The record is from RNAcentral.